This 732-nucleotide long non-coding RNA is filed under the name Oryza brachyantha (malo sina). RNAcentral's name for it is "long non-coding RNA (OBRA_LNC002527)". The record is from RNAcentral. Lineage: Eukaryota; Viridiplantae; Streptophyta; Magnoliopsida; Poales; Poaceae.
UCGAUCUUGUUCUAUCACUGUUUAGCUUUUCUUCCUUUCUCAAACCAGGCAGUGUCAGGUUCCAUCUGCUGCUCGUAUUAACAGCAGAUGGGCCCUUACUAUAAGAGCAUGGCAACAGCCAUGAACUGAUUGCGCAGGCGUCCAGUUGUCCUGAUCGUUCACAGAUUCUGCAUUUCCAUAAUCCUGUCAUCUGGAGACGGUUGAAAGGCUGGUUCCUCUUCUAGUUUCAGAGUUUCAGUGAAGGUAUCCCCCUUUUUUUCUCCUAUUCAAAUGACAUCACUCAUCACAUGCAAAAUGGGCAUAUAUGGCUGUAGCGGUUGGAAACAAUCAAACACACCAGGAUUCCUCGUGGAUUAGUUGAUGCUGAUGAAUUGAUUGGUUCGGUGUGUUAAGCUGGUAGCUAGAUAAUCUUGUCUGCAUUCAAUUGUUGAGCUCGUCGAAUAAAAAUUAGGGGAGCAGGCAGGCAAAAAGAUGGGCGUGCCUGCAACGAUUGCACAUCGUAACACAUAAGCCUCCACGUUUGAUAGUCAUGUUGACUUUCUAUUUAUUUCUGUAUGUGUCAACAUUAUCUUUCAAAAUUGUUUCCUUUGGCUCAUUUUUAUUAAUUUUUAAGCGACCUUUACGUCCUACUUUUUAAAAUUUGUCUUGAUCUCGCUUUUACACACUUUUUUUUUCUUUCAGAGGGCGACAGAUGAAACAGUAGGUAAAAGAAAACAGAAACGAUUGUGAUGU